This 270-nucleotide ribosomal RNA is filed under the name Chtonobdella bilineata. RNAcentral describes it as "partial 28S ribosomal RNA". It matches the Rfam family "Eukaryotic large subunit ribosomal RNA", at positions 680 to 922 of the family's 3401-position model. Lineage: Eukaryota; Metazoa; Annelida; Clitellata; Hirudinida; Haemadipsidae. The record is from RNAcentral.
ACGUGCGCGAGUCGCAGGGUUGUACGAAACCCGAAGGCGCAACUAAAGUGAAUGAUCUUCGGAUCUAGGUGGGAUCAUGUGGUCACUCGUGGCUACGUGCGCACCACCGGCCUGUCUCAUUCGUGACGUCGAAGAGGCGGAGCAAGAGCGUACGCGUUGGGACCCGAAAGAUGGUGAACUAUGCCUGAGCAGGAUGAAGCCAGAAGAAAUUCUGGUGGAGGUCCGCAGCGAUUCUGACGUGCAAAUCGAUCGUCAAACUUGGGUAUAGGG